This is a long non-coding RNA of Alligator sinensis (Chinese alligator), 982 nucleotides long. RefSeq lists it as uncharacterized. The transcript is spliced from 2 exons. Lineage: Eukaryota; Metazoa; Chordata; Crocodylia; Alligatoridae. The record is from RefSeq and is a predicted model, not a curated record.
CUGUCACUGCCUGCCCUGGAAGCCGACCCUGCUGCCAGCGGGCUCGCACGAGGGGAAAGGGCACAGUCACUGCCAUGCCCGGCCAGGCCCAGGGGGUGGGCGCUUCCAGAGCAAAUACUUCUGUGAGUCACAAACAACACGCAGCCUCCCGGGCUCGCGGCUUCCAGUGAACGCGAGUAACCCACAGGAGCUGCAGCAGAGCAGAACAGAGCAGAGAGCUCCACACAAACUUUCCAGCUGCCUUUCCCAGAAGAGCCGCGCUCAGCCCCGAGCUCCCCCCGCCAGGGGAGCGCCUCGGCUGGGCUCGGCUGAGGGGGCGGGGGCUGGCAGAAGAGCCAGACAUCAAAGGUCGCUACUUGUUGCUUCAGAGCUGCGCCGCCCCCCGGAAAAAUCGUAUUCCGAGCACACUCCCUGCAAGAGAAACAAGCCGGUGAGGGGAUGAUUGGCAGUUUCCGAGGAUAAAGGGAUCUGAACUGUCAUCGCACGCUUAAACAUGCACAAACAGCGGGCUGAUUGAUGCGCGAGGCAUUACACUGACACCGUCUUGCGUAGGGACGGAGAUAAUUUGAUUGCAUGUGAAUAGGACUUCUAAUCGGGAUUUGAAUUUCCUAUGUUUUUCUCCUCCCGAUCCCACUUCCCUCCUCACUUUGCUAUCUCUUAGUCGUUGUUAUGCAUGUCUUUGUGUCUUCUCACCUCCCUAUUGUCCUCUCUUACACUCCUGUACAAUGUUUCUGCCUGUCUCUGUCUCCUGCUUCCUUUCUCAGGGCUGUCAACUCCUGGAAUUUUAUCUAAAGCUUGUCAAUAUCGACUGUCUUUUUUAAACCCCUCAGCCCUGGAGGCAUAUGAUUAUACCAGAAUUGCAGCUUUCAUUAUUACAAAAAUAGAUUUAUAGCCCCACCGUUUGGGAGCUGAGCAUGAAAAAUGUAAAUCCUAAGGGUUAAAAAAAGCCACAAAUAAACUCUACAUUUGUUAUUUAAAGAAA